This 406-nucleotide ribosomal RNA is filed under the name uncultured bacterium. Its description in RNAcentral is "partial 16S ribosomal RNA". It matches the Rfam family "Bacterial small subunit ribosomal RNA", at positions 30 to 526 of the family's 1533-position model. The record is from RNAcentral.
AUUGAACGCUGGCGGCAGGCCUAACACAUGCAAGUCGAACGAGUGGCGGACGGGUGAGUAAUGUCUGGGAAACUGCCCGAUGGAGGGGGAUAACUACUGGAAACGGCAGCUCAUACCGCAUACCAUCGGAGCUUCCCAGAGGGGAUUAGCUAGUUGGUGGGGUAAAGGCUCACCAAGGCGACGCUCCCUAGCUGGUCUGAGAGGAUGACCAGCCACACUGGAACUGAGACACGGUCCAGACUCCUACGGGAGGCAGCAGUGGGGAAUAUUGCACAAUGGGCGCAAGCCUGAUGCAGCCAGGCCGCGUGUAUGAAGAAGGCCUUCGGGUUGUAAAGUACUUUCAGCGAGGAGGCGUUACCCGCAGAAGAAGCACCGGCUAACUCCGUGCCAGCCGCCGCGGUAAUAC